This 512-nucleotide ribosomal RNA is filed under the name uncultured bacterium. RNAcentral describes it as "bacterial SSU rRNA". It matches the Rfam family "Bacterial small subunit ribosomal RNA", at positions 29 to 518 of the family's 1533-position model. The record is from RNAcentral.
AACGAACGCUGGCGGCGUGCUUAACACAUGCAAGUCGAACGCGAAAGGGGACUUCGGUCCUGAGUAAAGUGGCGCACGGGUGAGUAACGCGUAGAUAACCUGUCUUCAUGUCUGGAAUAAUACGCCGAAAGGGGUACUAAUACCGGAUAUUCUUGCUUUUCAUAAGUUAUGCAAGCAAAGGUGGCCUCUGCAUAUGCUACUGCAUGAAGAGGGGUCUGCGUACCAUUAGCUAGUAGGUGGGGUAAUGGCCUACCUAGGCGACGAUGGUUAGCGGGUCUGAGAGGAUGAUCCGCCACACUGGCACUGGAACACGGGCCAGACUCCUACGGGAGGCAGCAGUGAGGAAUAUUACGCAAUGGGGGAAACCCUGACGCAGCGACGCCGCGUGAGUGAAGGAAGGCCUUCGGGUCGUAAAGCUCUGUCAAGAGGAAAGAAGUGUACAAUGGCUAAUACCUGUUGUAUUUGACGGUACCUCUAAAGGAAGCACCGGCUAACUCCGUGCCAGCCGCUGC